RNAcentral lists this ribosomal RNA (377 nucleotides) under Histioteuthidae environmental sample cf. Stigmatoteuthis hoylei. RNAcentral describes it as "partial 16S ribosomal RNA". The record is from RNAcentral. Lineage: Eukaryota; Metazoa; Mollusca; Cephalopoda; Oegopsida; Histioteuthidae.
UGCGGUAUUUUAACUGUACUAAGGCAUUUAAUAAUUUGCCUUAUAAUUUGAGGCUAGAAUGAAUGGUUUGACGAAGGUUAAUCUGUCUCUAUUUUAUUUUUUAGAAAUUAAUUUUUAGAGUGAAAAAGCUUGUAUUUUUUAAAGGGACGAGAAGACCCUAUUGAGCUUGUAAUUUUAUUACUAUUGUUAAUAUUAUUUGAGUGGUAUAUAAAUUUUAAUUGGGGUGAUUAAGGAAUAAAAUGAUUUUUAGUAACUUCCUUAUACUUAAUAUUGUUAGAUAAAGUAACCAAUAUAUUAUUGCUUAUAUUAUAGUUACCAUAGGGAUAACAGCGUAAUUUGUUUAGAGAGUUCUUAUUGAAAAACAAGAUUGCGACCUC